Long non-coding RNA from Aphis gossypii (cotton aphid), 1256 nucleotides. RefSeq lists it as uncharacterized. The transcript has 3 exons. The record is from RefSeq and is a predicted model, not a curated record. NCBI's taxonomy places the organism in Eukaryota, Metazoa, Arthropoda, Insecta, Hemiptera, Aphididae.
GGCUUUUACAUAUUCUUUUGGUUGAUCUAACGACGUCGUCGCCGAUCUCACUCGCAGCCAGUGCAAACGACCACUGGCGCCGACGGCCGUGUCCAGCUUAAAAAUAUUAUAAUAUUAUGUUAUUAUUUUUCUCUGUUACCAUACGAAUAUCGAUAUAAUAACUUCAAUAAAGCAACAUACUAGUAAGCAAGUCAAUUAAAUUAUAUUCCUUUAUUGACACAAAUAAAGAUGCUGUAAUCUCGGAAUCUACCGAUGAACACAAUGAUUCAGAUUUUAGAUUCUAAUACAUAAUGCGCCGCUCAAACUAUAACCAGAUCAGCAGAACCUAAUUCAUCGGUAACUACUAAUUCAUCUAACACUCCUUCAAUAAAAUAAAUUAUAAAAUUUAGUGCUUAUUAGUUUGUUAUUAAAUCUUUGUAAAUAAUACACCAAAAGUGCCAAAGAAAUGUUGCAGUACCUUUAUAUAAUUCUAAAACCAAUUGAAGAAUUUAUCGUUUAGAAUAUUGAACUUAUUUAGAAAUUAGAGGGAUAUAACAUAAAUUGAAUUCACUUUAUGGUAAAAUUGAUAUAGUUUUUUAAAAGAAAUUGUUUAGAGACGCGAAAUACCUUCAACAAGAAAUGUACGUAUCUACACAGUAUAAUAUUAAUUCUAAAUUCUGAAUGUAUAGACUCAAAGAAAAACGAUAAAUUUAUUUACAUGGAUUAUAAUGAUUAUAAUAUAUUAUGUUAUUCACAUCAAGUUUUAAAUUCUUUCCUUAUGCGUAAUGAUAUACCUAUAAAACCAAACAUGAUGUCUACUUUGUUUUAAUUUAAAUAUUUGUACUUAAAAUUAAAAAAAUUAAAAAAUGUUUUUUUAAUUUGUAUUUUAAAAUAUGGAGAUUAUCAAUUUUUAAAUUAAAAUUCAAAAUAAUUAUUUAGCUUAAUAUUUUUAAAAAUCGUACAAUUACAACAUUAUUAUUUAUAAUUAAUUUAACCUUUUUUAUUGUCAAAUAAGUUUUGAAUCAUCAAUCAUUUAUUUUUUCUUUAUAUAAUUCAUCUGUUUUAAUGUUAAUUGUAAAUAUAAAUUAAGUAUUUGAUAUAUUUCCUAUACGAAUGCAUUUGUAUUUUCUGCAAUAUUUAAAUUUUAAACUUUGUGUUUUAAAUUUUUCGUUAAUGUUUAUAUAGUAUUAAAAAUACUUAAAUUUUUUUUUGUUAAAUACUGUUGUUUUAUAUAUUGUAUUUUUUAAUUUUAAUAAAUAUAUUAUACUAUUGAGUUA